CAUGGGUCCGGGGCCUUGGCUGAGGGUGCCGCCCGGGAGCGUCACGUGACCCACGGAAGGAGGACAGGCAGAGCGCGCGUGAGGGGGUCUGCUCGGGCCGUGAAAGACGCUGCUGUGAGAGGAAAGCACCACAGUGAGGCUGAGAGGAAAGCACCAGGCCACCGUGAGGCUGAGAGGAAAGCACCAGCACGAAUGGCGGAGCAUCUGCAGAGGGUGGUGUUAUUAUUUAAAGUGAUAAAUAACCCUUGUUCUCAUCUCUGUACAGUUAAAGAUGGCGGAGCAUCUGCAGAGGGUGGUGUUAUUGUUUAAAGUGAUA
RNAcentral lists this long non-coding RNA (316 nucleotides) under Neogobius melanostomus (round goby). RNAcentral describes it as "lncRNA (ENSNMLG00000003665.1)". The record is from RNAcentral. Lineage: Eukaryota; Metazoa; Chordata; Actinopteri; Gobiiformes; Gobiidae.